CCGGGCCGCUGCUUUACGGCAGCGUGCCAGGAGGGCGCCCGCUGCUUUUUGCGUAAAUAAAACUCUUCCCUUUUUCCAGCACGGCCGGCCCGCUCCGCGCCCCGAGCCGGGCACGGAGCCCCGCUCUGACCGGUAAAAGGAUGUGGCUCGGCCAGGAGACGGUCCAAGUCUGGAGAGAUGCGGGGAUGUCCUGGUCAAGUUUGGAGGGAUGCGGGGAUGUCCUGGCCAAGUCUGGAGAGAUACGGGGACACCCAGCGCUGAUCAUCGCGUGAUGGAUGUCAUAGAAAUCCUCGGGCAGAUCCACGUGAAUGCAGCGUUCCUAUAAAUUUCAUUAAGAGAUUCACCAACUCCGGACACUGAAUUGUUCUUCCUCAUCAGCAAAAAAGAAAAUCUCAUCAACCUAUAGACUCUGAAUGGAAGAAAAGACUGACUACUGAAAUCUUGGCCUCAGGUGGAAUUUUUCCUAUCAAAACCACUUGUGCUAGGAUGGAGGUGUGUGGGCACCGAGGAAAACCUCUGCUGAGGCUGACUCCUUGUUGCACGCCCAGGGCUGACCGACCCCGGGCUCAGCACUGUUCUUUCCUUGUGGACGGCCUGAUAAAAUUUGAUUGCAGAAUAAAUAUUUUAUUUUUUUAUUUUAA
This is a long non-coding RNA of Lonchura striata (white-rumped munia), 641 nucleotides long. RefSeq lists it as uncharacterized. The record is from RefSeq and is a predicted model, not a curated record. NCBI's taxonomy places the organism in Eukaryota, Metazoa, Chordata, Aves, Passeriformes, Estrildidae.